Molecule: small RNA, 28 nt
Filed under: Arabidopsis thaliana (thale cress)
Lineage: Eukaryota; Viridiplantae; Streptophyta; Magnoliopsida; Brassicales; Brassicaceae
Description: ATSL308350
Source: RNAcentral
AAUAAAGUUCCAGUCCCUGCAGCUAGAA